Molecule: long non-coding RNA, 3534 nt
Filed under: Bemisia tabaci
Lineage: Eukaryota; Metazoa; Arthropoda; Insecta; Hemiptera; Aleyrodidae
Description: lncRNA ENSSSA3NGG007768
Source: RNAcentral
UCCUCAUAUUUUCUCCCUCGCAGCCUUCCGCAGCAAGGAAAGGAAUCUGAGCCUUCCAAUCAAAGUUUGUUAUGUUGGCCCUCUACUCCUACUUUUAUAUCCCUGUUUCUGUUUUUCCAUAGAACUGGUGCUGUAGAACCUUCGGUCAACAGUCGAAUCUGCAGCUGUCACUUUCCCAAUGGCGAUAAGACCAACCUACCCACCCUUGUUGAACCUUUCAUGCCCUGUAAUACUUCAAGGCAAACCGAACAGAAUAUUUUCCCCUCCUAGACCCAGUAAAAUCCCGAUUCCUGUGUUCAGAAACAGCCCUAGUCCAAGGAUUCCUUCAAAGAAAUCUAAAAGAAGCCCUUUGUCCUCCAUUGCCAUUCCUAUAAAGAAUGCAAGGUAUCUAUCUCUUCCUUUUCCCUUUUACCUUGCCUUUCUCAAGAACCUACACUGUAACUGUGAUCAAAUCCUUAACUUAGCACUGAAUCUGGAUUUAACAUGCCAAAGGAUGAAAUGUCUCGAUGCGCUGCAAAAACUCUACAUUUGUACACAACGAUUGAUACCUAAAAAUGGUUCGGCUACACAGUGUAUUGAUGACAAUGCCUCCCAAUUCGAUCUAAGUGAUGUGUGGCCUUCAUCAGUGUUAUGCCCAUGUGUGAACCAUCUGGGCUCCAAUCUCAGUAUCUCGGUUUGCGACGUUGCACACUUACUGUAAUACUUUCUUUCUUUACUGGAGAACUACUCCACGUCAAUUCUUACCUAAAGCUUUAAAUCUCAAACUUUAUGGGUGAAAAUUUAUACAGAAUAUUCUACUGACAGGGAAAAAAAAUCAAGGAAGUUUUCAAGAAAUUUCGUUGACUAGUUUUCCAUGGAAAAAUGAAGUACGACUGGAGGUCUACGAAGUCAAAAUCAGAGGCACUGGUUCUCGCACUUCAGCCAUUGAAAUGUUGAUCAAAUUUUAUGGAAUAAUGUUGAUUUGCUCUUUUAUAAAAAAGUAUAUUAAGUGCAGAUAUUUUUAAACAUCACAAACAAUGAUACGUUGUUUGGGAGUGUCACUGUCUACAUGCAUUAUUAAGCUACUUUCCACGGAGAACGCAAAGUUUCAGUAAGUAAUGAAUCGUGAGAAAAAUUUGAGAAUUCCACAAGCCCUGGGUACCUAGUGAAAGUGACUUUAAAACGACUGUAGGAAACUUGAUAAUUUUAUGCAUGUAAAUCGAACUCUUCAAAAUUAUAUCCAUCCUGGCAGGAAAAGAGACCAUUUUAACGCACACUUAAGUAAUGGAGAAAAAAAGCAUCAAUUCCUUCAUUUAUAUUAAUAUUUUGUAUGAUUCUCAUAUUCUCCAACAACUUCUGAAGUGCUCGGAAAAUGGAAUUAAAAUGGUUUCUCGUUUCCUGCAUUAAAAAGUUCUUUUCUUAGUUUCAAAAUUCACAAAUUUUUUAAAGUUUCUUUAAGCGCAACUGUCAAGUAAUUAUAAAUAAUUAUGUUAAGAACAAUAAAGUGUUUUAAGAACAUUGUAGAAACAUUACUAACUCGCCAAGUUGGAGCAAAAGGGUCCAGGAAAAUUCAGGAUAAUUAAGUGUCCAAAUUAUAAUUUAUUCAAAAUUUUUUUUCCUCACAUAAAGCUUCUAUCACAGAACACAGACUUACAUUAUUUAAUUGACUGAAUGAUAUUAAAAUAAUUAAAAUCCUCUACCACUUUUAUCCUUGAGAGUAUCUUGAUUGUCCUAAAAAGAAACGAAAAAGUAAAAGUUAGUUUUCCACGAAUUUUGAGCAAUUUAGAAAUAUGGAAGCAUAGCACACUGAGACAAUCGAUAGAGAAAAAUUAGUUUGCAAUGUAAUACAAGUUUUUCUCCCGGAUUUUCAGGACACCUCAAGAAGGAACCAAACGUAAAGUUUCCUCUAUUCGCAUUCUUUUCAAUAAUGAUCAAAAAGAGAACACCAACCCGAACGCGCUUCCUUUAGCUGAACCUCUUGAUUCACCUCUACUCCCUCCAGCCAUUAAUGAUGAAAUCCGCCAAAGCUCCUCUCAAACUGCUCAACAUCUGAAAAUAUCCAAUGCCUCCACCAAUCCACAGUUACUUUCAUCUGCACGCUCUCCCAUUCCUGUCAUUCCUUCCCCCUCUUCUUGUCUUUGUAAUUCUUCUUCUGAGACGCAAAACAAUGUAGAGAAUACAAUUGAAAAUAUUUCCACGCGCAUGGCUGGUUUAAAAGUGAACAAAGGUAGUCAAACUGAUAUCCCUGAUCAAAUGUAUCAAUUACAAGAAGAAAAUGAAAAGUUGCGAAAGCAAAUGGAAAACCAAAAAUUUCGGUUUGGAGUUGGCAACAUAAAAAGUAAUGAUAAGUGGAUUAAGUACUACACAUCGAUGCACGACUCUAAAAUGCUAGACAUUUUCCUAAAAUUGUUUGAUGAUGUGAAAGUUAAUUAUUAUUAUGGAUGGACGGUAAAAGUAAUUAAUAGGCAUGACCAAAUCCUGAUGACACUGAUGAAAUUGAGACUAAACUUGGGCGAAAUAGACCUGGCACGCCAGUUUAAUGUUGGUCAGUCUACAGUAUCAAACAUAGUGAUCACAUGGAUCCACGUUUUCUAUGAAGUUUGUGUGAAGAUUUAAUGAGAGAUAUUCCUUCCAUAGAAAAAAUCAAAAAAUGUAUGCCCUCGUGCUUCCAGCACUUCCCCAAUUGCAGAAUAAUCCUUGAUUGCACGGAAGUUUUCAUUGACACUCCAAAGAAAUUGUCACAACAAAAUAAAACAUACAGCCAUUAUAAACAUAACAAUACUUUUAAAGGUCUAGUAGGUUCUGCACCGAAUGGAGUAAUUAUUUAUGCAAGUUCAUUAUACCCGGGGUCAACCUCUGAUAAGGAAAUUGUCAGACACUGUGGUAUCUUAGAAAAGCUGAAACCUGGGGAUUUGAUUUUGGCAGAUAAGGGAUUCCUGCUCCACGACAUCUUGCCAGCAGGGGUGACGUGCAAUAUUCCACCAUUUGCAUCUUCUGCUCAAUUCACACGUAGUCAGGUGGAAAUUGGAAAGAAAAUUGCACGGGCUCGCGUGCAUGUUGAGAGAGCUAUUUAAGAGUGAAAUACUUUAGAAUAUUAAAAAAUGUUCCACAAUCUCUUUUCUUCUAUGCUUCCAAAAUUUGGCAUGUUAGUGUAGCUCUUACUAACUUUAGAUUCCCUCUGAUUAAAGAGCUAGAUGGAGCGUAUGCUCUCAUUGACAGUGAGGAAUAAAAAUUACCUAGAAUUCUGAAGAUGUUUUCCUGACAUGUAAAAUUUGAUUGCAAAACCUUGGGUUGAGAACCUGAAAACACGAUUGCAAUUAAAAAUUAAUUUUUGUAGAUUUAUUACCUAUGUAACUUUACUUAGGUACACCUAUUUAUUCAAUUAUAUUAAAUAUAAUACUCUCAUAAGUACCUUAUGAUCAGUUUUUUAGUACCCGAAUUGCUUUACAUCGACAAACCUUGCCUGCAUGCACUCUGCAGUGAUUAUAUGAUGGUAAAUUUCACUUUUAAAGUUAGAUAUUCCUCAUCAUUGAAUAAUCUGAUGCCUUUUAUCAG